This 220-nucleotide ribosomal RNA is filed under the name uncultured bacterium. RNAcentral describes it as "partial 16S ribosomal RNA". It matches the Rfam family "Bacterial small subunit ribosomal RNA", at positions 111 to 334 of the family's 1533-position model. The record is from RNAcentral.
UAAUGCAUCGGAACAUGCCCAGUCGUGGGGGAUAACACUUCGAAAGAAGUGCUAAUACCGCAUACGUCCUGAGGGGGAAAGCGGGGGAUCGCAAGACCUCGCGCGAUUGGAGUGGCCGAUGUCAGAUUAGCUAGUUGGUGGGGUAAAGGCCUACCAAGGCGACGAUCUGUAGCUGGUCUGAGAGGAUGAUCAGCCACACUGGGACUGAGACACGGCCCAG